GGAGACCCCAUUAAAAUGGAGUUAUGACCCAUUUGGGGGUCCCGACCCACAGUUUGAGAACCCCUGCCAGGUGCAAAAUUACAAAAAACAAGGAAAUGAAAAGUUAAAUCCUCUAAUCUGUUCCUCGUCCCACACUCCUACUACUGUCAAAACUAACAAUACAGACCAUGCUCUGUAACCUUAACUCUUCCCCCAGAGAUGCCAGACUUUUAUCACUACUCUUAUUGGCCCUUGUGCACCAGAAUAUUUUAUCUGCUAUCACCUGCACCAGAGAUUUCUGUGCAUGACAGCAAGUAAGCUGGAAAACCAAGGUGCAUUUUGGCUGUUCUAUCAAAAAAAUUAAUUGUAUUAUUUUAAAUACCUUUCAUUGCCUAUGUAGAAAAGGUUUUAGGAGCAUUUCCCUUCACCUGCUCCCUCUGUAGCUCUUUUCCAUGUAAUGUGAAUGUAGCAUUAAUAUUUAAAAUAAUAUUUCAAACAUUGAUUAGUUCAGUAGAGGACAUCAAAGAGCUUGGCCAGAAAAGUAAGAAUUUAUUAAAGCAAAAAUUCUGACAUUACAGAUGUAAAGGUGUUAGAAUAAUCUACAAUAUUGGAAACCAUUUAGUAUGUUUCCACAAGCUUGGGAAAGCUCAGAGCUGACAUUUCUAUGAUGGCAUUUUUGAAUUCUAAAGCAAAGGAAAUGGAGAUAUUUCACAGAAGAGAUGUUCUCCAAAUAUCACCUAAAGAAAAGUGGCCUCCGUCACGCUGCUGAUGUAUGGGUAUGUUGCAUGAACUACUUAUUUUGAAAAUUGCUGGAUGUGAGAUGCUGUCAUAGGUUAAAUGUUAAGUGAAAUUAUAUAGUGAGGUACGUUAUGGGAUGAGGACCAAAAAGAACACAUACCACUAGGUGGAUGGAGACACAGAGUAUGUUUACACUGCAUCUGGGAGUUAGCUUCCCUGCCUAGGUCCACAGUCUUAUGCUGGUGGGGCUUGCACUAGUAAGCUAAAAAAAAAGCUGUGUAGACAUUGCGAUUUAGGCUGGAGCUCAAGAUGUCAAAUCCAUCCCCACCCAAGCUUGAGAGCUCAAGUUCCAGCCUGAGUCGCAAUGUCUACACAGCUAUUUGUAGUGUGCUAACCGGGUAGCAUGUAGACAUACCCACAGAGACUUGGACUUCUGGACAGAAGCUCCACUCAUACUCCUCACUUGGAAAUUUGGGAGGUUGAAUUUGAAGGAGAAGAAGCUCUGCUGGGCUCUUAUAAUCUUAAACUGUCUCUGCUAGAGUAAGAAGUAGGACGGUCACUAGAUGUUUCUGUUUUGCUUGUGUUAUGUUUACUCGGUUAGAUAAAAGUUUAGUGUUUGGUCAAACCCAGGAGUCAGAGGCAUAGUCAGUCGGUGGGUUUUAAAGAGAUCCAAAGGGCCUUCAAAAUACAGUAACGAAAAGCAGCCAAGAGCACCUGACAUUUACAGGCAGGUGUCCUGAGAAGAAAGUUAGAGAGGUAAAAAGGCUCCACUUGUCAGUUGUAGCCACUGACACUGGUGUUGAAUAAGGUGUGGUGCCCCGUAAGGGGGAAGUUGUGACAACAGGUAUCACAGCAGGGCAAAGGAUAAUAGUUGAUUAAACUCGUCAUAACAAAUAUUUGUACAUUAGUUAAAAAAAACUGAACAAAUCUUAGCCAUCUUUCCUGUUCUUAAAUUGUCUAAAGAAGAGAGUUUCUUUAGAUCUUCUUUAUUCAUAAUUUUUUAUCUAAUAAUGUCUGAGAAAAUAUUGCAGCUGGAUUUGCAACAAAUGAAUGAAUUGGAUUUGAUUGCUUUUUUGGGUUUAUGUGUGUUUACUCAGAAAGACCAGGCAAAGUGGAAGUACAGGUCUAAUAUUUGGCAGGAAGCUCAGAAAGGUAGCAAUAGUGUAUUUUGUCAUUUAUGUAUGUUGAACCCCCCUGUUGCUUAUUUAAGAACAAUUUGAAAAAGGAAAGGGUGGGAGGCUGUGACAUAUGUGAAUAAUUGUUCAGAAAUAAAUCUUUAGGUCAGGCAGUAGCACAUCCUAAACGUUUCAUAACGGUUUAAUGCUUGCAUAAAUGUGUCACAUGGGGUGACAUGACUUAUUUUAUUAUUUAUACCAGGUCAGCCCCAGUUGCUUAUUCAUGAACCACUCCCAAAAUGUAAGUGGGGAGGAGAUGGAAGAAACUAAGCUUUGGAUCGGGGAAUGGCAUAACCAGGUCUCUUCACCACAGUCUAAAUUUGGCAGGGAUGUGUCACUUGGGGUGACUGAAAAGUUUCUUGUCAUUUAUGUGGGUUGAAACCACAGUUCCUUAUUGAAGAUCACUUGCAAAAUGUGGGGAGAGUGGUGAAGCACAUUGAGGUUGUGUGACACAUUUUGCAUAGAAAUAAAUCUACAGGUCAGGGUGUGACAUGCUCUCUGGAGUCUUCAGAAUGGUCCAAUAGUUGCACAGAUGUUUCAUUUUAGGUGUGAUCCAAAAGGUACUUUUGUCAUUUACAUAUCAUCAAAUAUAUUACUUUUUCAAAUUAAGAGGCAAUUCCAUCACGUGAGACUGGGGUCUUGCUUGCAUCUCAGAAAAGUGUAUCAUUAAAAGCAUGACUAUAUAGUGUUUAAAAGCUCAAUCUAGGGUUUGGUUUGAGAUUUCUAAAAAUUAAAUUUACACCAAUUAAUUAUUUUUAUUAUUAUUUGGGCCCUUGAAUAAGAAACCAACCAAUAAGGAUCCUAGCCUCAUGGGAUCCUGGACUUAUUGAAGUCAAUUGUAGGGAUUUCACUCUCUGUGUUUGCACAGUACCUAGUGCAGUUGCAUCCUAAUCAGAACUAUUAAGCAUUGCUUCAAUACAAAUCACAAAUAGAAACCAGAAUAAUGAGGUACAGGAAGGGUUAGCAAGCACAAGAGGUGAAAAUUAGAGGUAUGUCCAAAGCAAAGCCUUUAAAUCAAGAAAGUAAGAAGAGCAGAAAACUCCAUGAAGUCCAAUGGGGACUUCUCCAUGUUACAUGGGAAGUACUGGCUGCUGGGCAUGGUAUAAAACCCAAGAUAGAAUUAGCAGAUGUUAAUUGAGCCUCAGACACUUACGUACAUGCUGAAUGUUAAGCACACGUGUCUACAGAAUCAGGCUUAAGAGUUUAAUUUUCAAAGGUGCAGCUGCAGUCAUUGGGAGUGGCAGGUGUUCAAUGUCUCUGAAAAUCAACUAACUGCCUUACCUAACUUGCCACAGUGGCUCAGUGCUAGAGCUAGCGAAGAAUGUUUGACUCAUAGGUCCUAGAGUUUUGCCCAGCAGCUUACAUUUGACUAAAAUCAAUGAAGUUGUUGAGAUAGGAGAGCAAGGAGGAAUAUUAUGGGGGGAGGGGUGAUGCAGAGAGUCUUUUUGUAUGGCUUGCUUUGGAGGGGGGUAUUCAUCUUUCAAGAAAACAUUUACGUUGUUGGCUUGUUUUUGUUAUUGAUCACACCACUAAAAAGAUGCUGAACUUUCAAACGUAGCAUGUUCUCAAAGAUGGAUAAAUUGCUUGGAAAAAUAUUUUACCAGUUUACAUACAAAAGGUAUAAAGCUAAGUGCUGGUAAAAUGGUACAUCUCACUGAAGGUUUUUCCAUUAUUACUGGAGCCCUUUGUCAAUAAGCAGCUGGGUUUGCUCCAGAGAGUUAUCACGGUUAAGCUUCAGUGUAGCAAUGAGCUUGGUAUAAGAAGACUUCUGCAUCGACACAGAGCCUCUACUGAAGUAAAGAGCUUACUGUCAAAUCAUGGGGGCUCCUAUAGGGUUCAGUAUCUUCCAUGCAGAGCUCUUUGCAGGAUCACAGCCUUACUUGUGAAGAAAAAAUACAUUGUCUAUCAUCAUAUCCUAUAAGCUAAGCAAGAUUGAGUUGAGAGUUGAUUACAGUAUUGCCAAGAAAUAUUUAGUGCUGCAGGAAGAAAAUGUAAAUAGGUAUAAUUCUUCCACUGAAUCAGUACCAUACUAAUGCUUCAGUAUGGUGUUUGGGUGUUGUGCUGCUGGAGGUGCCAUCUUUCAGCUGACACCUAAACCUCAAGUUCAAGUAAUCUCUGGUCAUUAAAGGGCAAGGGUCAGUGCAAGCCUCUUCCAAGAUGUGAGAAGGGCUAGUCGUAAAAUCCUGCCACAGAGCCCAGUUCCUUUCUGUGGCCCCAUGCCUUGCUCCUCAGGUGAGUACUAGCUUUACCUCCUCCUCUCGUCCCCCCCGCCAAGGCAUUGCCUUAUGGCCAGGUCAGAUGCCAGAAGCUGGAGCCAGGCAGUGCAGGGUGGCUGCUGUGCUAGCAGUGGCUGGUGCCAUGAUGCAGGUAUCUGUAGUGCUCCCCCAUCUCCUGCUGUUGCCUCGGGCUGUGGCUGCUCCUCAGCUCCCCACUGCCCUUUGACUGUUCUCAGCUGGUAAUGGCUGCCUGGGUGUAGGGACCCAGCUCUGGGGCCGACAGAACCCUAGGGAAGGUGACACCGUGGGAGCUGGGGCCCAGGAGCCCGGGCUGGAGCAGGUGAGUCUAGGGUGCUGUGGGGAGCCCUGGACCCUCCACCUGCCCUGGAUGGCAUGCCCCAGUGGGUGGGCACAUGGGCCAAGGGCUUCUCUUGGGGCCCCCCACCCAGGCUUACUCCAGCACUGCUACUGGCAGGGGCACUGCCUUCAGAGCAGCCCAGCCAGCAGCCACUGCUCUCUCCACUCUGCCUUUACAUUUCCAAGUGUUCUACUUCCUGUGUGACUCCACCAGUGGUAGACUGGUCACUGGCACUUUUUAAUGACCAUACAGUGGUGCUGGAACAAUUUUUAUAGUGGGGGCACUGAAAGUGGAAACCAUAUGUUUGGGUUGUUAUUACUACUUCAAGCCAGGGAAUGUGGCAGCACCCCUAGUUCCAGCACCUAUGUGACCACAUCAUCUAACCUUGCCGUGUUCCUUAACCCACAGGCCAUUGGCUUUAAAACUUCAACAAAUUUUACUAUUUCACUGGGCCUUGAAGCUUAACAUACUUUCUGGAGGAGAAAAUGAAUGACUCAACAGAUUGCUUGUCAAGAUUUUCACUGUGCAAGCCCACAAACAAUAAAGAUGGUAACUCAGGUUUUCUGGGGCUGACAGCAACUGAAAAACCACGAGCAAAAUAAACAAACAAGCAGAAUCAGGAACACAGGAGACUGUGGUCCAGAUCCUCAGCUGUAGCCAAGAAGAGCAUAGGGCCAAUAGUUUGUUAAUAAAUGUAACAUAGGUGUAAUACUUGGAGGCUGAUCCUCAAAUACAUAUUAUUCCCACUGAUGUCCUAUUGACUUCCUAGGAGUUUCAUGCAG
Long non-coding RNA from Dermochelys coriacea (leatherback sea turtle), 5248 nucleotides. RefSeq lists it as uncharacterized. The transcript is spliced from 3 exons. Lineage: Eukaryota; Metazoa; Chordata; Testudines; Dermochelyidae. The record is from RefSeq and is a predicted model, not a curated record.